UAAGGUAUUUUUGGAUUUUGGUUGUAGACGAUUUUUUAUUUGAUGUGAAUUGACAGUGGUCUCAAAUCAACUUAAUUAAUUGAAUUAGUUUGUAGUCCAUCAUUGGAUGGGGAUGAGAUCAAACUUGGUGAGAAUGGAUGGGAUUGCAGUGCUCUGAGUUUGAAAUAUCAAAGUUGUUUGUAUCAAUUCUCUGGUGAGGGGAAUGGGGGCAUGGAGCAUGAAGCAUGUCUGAGGGGUUAAAGGCUUACACACAGUCACUGUUAGUCAGCUGAUGUGGUAUUGUUUUUGGGGGAUCACAUUUGUUCAUGGAUAGAACAUAUUGAUAUUUUUUCCUCCGAUGGAUUGGAGAGGUUGGGAGACAUGAUUGUUGGUUGGGCGAUUAGAUUGCUGAAGAGGUUUUUGGAUCUUUAAUUUAUAGCUUUAAUAUAAAAUGUAAAGUGCGUUACUAAAUGCCUUUUAUUGGUUUUCAAAUCAUGUGACCUCAAGUGUUGUGUAUGGAUUGGGGAGGUUACUACUAGCAGGUUGCUAGCUUUCGUUGUUGAAUGAGGUUGAAAUAAAAAAAGCAUAACACUGCACUGAAUAUUUUGUUUGGUGAAACUGGAUUAUCGCAACACAACUCUUGAUUUGUGAUGACUCUGGAAAGUAAUCACAUUGGAAUUUCAAGUGGUACUUUUGAAGAAUGGGCUUAAUGUGGUGGACCCAAUUGAGAGUGGAAGAGCAGCAGUAUUGCAAAAGUUUAGUACAGUUGCAUCUCUGGAAGGAGGCUAGGUUGCUUGGAGUUGUUUGAAUCAUGGGAUGAGGCAUCAACCUUCACGCUGCUAACCAUGUAAUCAUUGUUGACGGUUCGUGGAAUCCUACUUAUGAUCUUCAGGCUCAGGUUUGGAGGUAUUGGUAAACAAAGUCAAUUUUUGCAUAUCGUUUGAUGGCACAUGGAACUAUGGAAGAAAAAAAUAUAUAAACGGCAGGUGACAAAGGAGGGACUUGCUGCAAAGGGUGGUUGAUAGGCAACAAAUGCAUCAAACAAUUUCUAAUUAAGGUCCUGCAUCUCUUGGAUUUGUAUUUUAAUUGAUGGGAC
Magnolia sinica is the source of this 1075-nucleotide long non-coding RNA. RefSeq lists it as uncharacterized. The record is from RefSeq and is a predicted model, not a curated record. Lineage: Eukaryota; Viridiplantae; Streptophyta; Magnoliopsida; Magnoliales; Magnoliaceae. The transcript is spliced from 4 exons.